GAUGAACGCUAGCGGCAGGCCUAACACAUGCAAGUCGAGGGGCAGCGGGGUGUAGCAAUACACUGCCGGCGACCGGCGCACGGGUGCGUAACGCGUAUCCAAUCUACCCAUGGCUCAGGGAUAGCCUUUCGAAAGAAAGAUUAAUACCUGAUGGUUUCGCUUUUCCGCAUGGUUUGGCGAAUAAAGAUUUAUCGGCGAUGGAUGAGGAUGCGACUGAUUAGCUAGUUGGCGGGGUAACGGCCCACCAAGGCGACGAUCAGUAGGGGUUCUGAGAGGAAGGUCCCCCACAUUGGAACUGAGACACGGUCCAAACUCC
This 316-nucleotide ribosomal RNA is filed under the name uncultured Bacteroidales bacterium. RNAcentral's name for it is "bacterial SSU rRNA". It matches the Rfam family "Bacterial small subunit ribosomal RNA", at positions 28 to 339 of the family's 1533-position model. The record is from RNAcentral. Lineage: Bacteria; Pseudomonadati; Bacteroidota; Bacteroidia; Bacteroidales.